RNAcentral lists this ribosomal RNA (498 nucleotides) under uncultured bacterium. RNAcentral describes it as "partial 16S ribosomal RNA". It matches the Rfam family "Bacterial small subunit ribosomal RNA", at positions 28 to 523 of the family's 1533-position model. The record is from RNAcentral.
GAUGAACGCUGGCGGCAUGCCUUACACAUGCAAGUCGAACGGUAACAGGUCUUCGGAUGCUGACGAGUGGCGAACGGGUGAGUAAUACAUCGGAACGUGCCUAGUAGUGGGGGAUAACUACUCGAAAGAGUGGCUAAUACCGCAUGAGAUCUACGGAUGGAAGCAGGGGAUCGCAAGACCUUGUGCUACUAGAGCGGCCGAUGGCAGAUUAGGUAGUUGGUGGGAUAAAAGCUUACCAAGCCGACGAUCUGUAGCUGGUCUGAGAGGACGAUCAGCCAGCCUGGGACUGAGACACGGCCCAGACUCCUACGGGAGGCAGCAGUGGGGAAUUUUGGACAAUGGGCGAAAGCCUGAUCCAGCAAUGCCGCGUGCAGGAUGAAGGCCUUCGGGUUGUAAACUGCUUUUGUACGGAACGAAAAGCCCCGGGUUAAUACCCUGGGGUCAUGACGGUACCGUAAGAAUAAGCACCGGCUAACUACGUGCCAGCCGCCGCCGUAA